This is a non-coding RNA of Rattus norvegicus (Norway rat), 3812 nucleotides long. The record is from RefSeq and is a predicted model, not a curated record. Lineage: Eukaryota; Metazoa; Chordata; Mammalia; Rodentia; Muridae.
CAAGAAAGGUUUGAUUUGCCUUUACAGAGUAAAAUCGACAACAGAGGAAAAGCCAAGGAACUCAAAGCAGGACCCCCUCCCCUUCUGCUCAGCUCCCUUAUACAGCUCAAGACCACCUUCUUGGACCACUUUCUAAGGAAUGGAGCCACCCACAGUGGGCUAGACCCUCUUUACCCCAAUGAAUAACUAUGAAAAUGCCUCACAGACAUGGCCACGGGCUAGUCCAAUCAAGGCAAUUCUUCAGUUGAUGUUUCCUUUUCCUAGGUGACUGUUGUGUCAUGUUAACUGUGACAUUUUCCUGUGUCUUACAGAGAAAUGAAGACAAAAUUUCAACAUUUAAGAAAAAUCUGACCACGUAGGUCAUUCGCAAAAUAUAUGAUUUCACUGGUUGGUUAGGGUUAAUAGGCAACUUCUGCUGCCUGGUAUUUGGCUCUGGGCAAGGCCCGCACAGCCAGUAUAAACCAGAUGGUGAGGCUUGGUGUGUAACCUAGUAACAUGCCCUUGGGUCAGUACCCGGUACUGUAAAAACAGGGUGUGGUGACACAAACCUGUCACUUGAGCACUGGGAGGGAGAAGCCAGGAGGCUCAUCUUUAGCUAGUCUGAGGCUAGACAUGAACCCCUCUCCUCAGAUACAAUAGGCUGGACGAUGCCUCCCUAGCUAAGAACACUCAAUGCCAAUCACAAGGACUAGAUUUUUUUUUUUUCAUUUCAGCAUCUGCAUAAGAAACUGUGUAGCCCUGCAGGUCUGAAACUCCACUGGGAGUGUGCCAGAGACAGGAGGAUGACUGUGACUUGCUCUGCCUUAGAGGAACAGGCAGAAAAUAGUGGAGGAGGACAGCCUGCACCCUCUUCCAGCCUCUCCGCCUGUGCACAGAUGUGCGCCAACUACUUAUACAUGUGCACCUUCCUACGCCUGGAUGCACACACCCACACAAGUCUUUAAAACUAAACUGCACGACUGGGGUAUCCCCCCACCUCUUGAAUUAAGCCCCAUGUAUUUGAGAAUCUAAAUGAGGCAUCUUCCACCAGGCUGAGGGAAUGGUAUGCACUCUCCCGCCAUUCGCUUACUGAGGAAAUUGCUCAUUGGCCUUAGGCUAGCGAAUCCAGAGUCUCUGCUUCCGCUGGAAGGAAGGGUGGGGAGUAAUGAAGUAUAGAGCUUCACCGUGGAAGCUCUCAGAAAGGUCCAUAAACCAGAGGGCACAUGAGGUUGGCUUCCUGCGAGCCCGGGUGGCUUCACGUGGUACAGCAGGGAUGGGGGAGCAGUUCUGUGUACUGACUUUUUUUCCUCUGUGAUGUGGGUGAAGAGAGCCUGGGAGAGAGAGUCUGAAGAGCGAUGAAGAUUCUGCAGGGAGGCCGCAGCACAGCAUUCCAAACAUAAGCCAAAGGGAGGGGCGUCCCAGCAGUCCGGAAGCCUCUCCUGCCUUGGGAGCCUGAGGACCGGAAGGUCUGCGCUUUGGUUUUCUUCAUGGCAGUGCCCUGUGAGCUGCAAUGAUGGGCUCUCCACUUGUGACGAUGUCUUUCCUCGACUACCCCUUCUAUUCCCGUCCUUGCCCCCAAGCCUUUGGCGGUAGUUAGUAGCAGCAGUCUCUUGGUUCAUGUGCUCAUGAAGUUCCAGUCUGAGUUUGGGUAUCGAGCUGGAUUAGGAGGAAUCUGGUGGCGUUGGAGACCAUCAUGGGUGACUCCGGGGAUUGUGUGGGCCCGUGCAUGCAGCGGGGGGAAAAAGUUCUGCCUCUAUCCUUGGGAUCCGAGGCAGCGCCCAAAAAUUCUCUCCGGAUUAGUCCUGGUCCAAAGCAAGGGUGAGAGGGCAGACGGGGUGCAGUCAGUCUGGGUUCAUUGCCCAGCAUCCAGUGGACCGGGGAGAGAGACACUGUCGCUGACUUGCCUCCAAGUCAGGAAGGUGACUGUGAUGGCUGGGGGCAAUGGUGCUGCAGAUUAAAGCCACAGGGCGGGGCCUCAGAGCAGUCACUUCUCCUCCCUGGGGCACAAAGAAGAAUUGAGGAUGCACAGUUCCAGCCUGUGCCCCUCAGGCCUAUUACAGGAGAACAAAGUCCCCCCUUCCCCCCAGCUCUGUAGUUUUCCAGAAAGUCAAGCAUUCCUUAAAGAUAAAAUGACCCUGCAUUCUCUUCUGCAAUUAGGCUUUGUGGGUCAUUUCUGUGUUUUUAUGGAGGAAGACCGAUUAGCCCCAGAGCUCAGCCCCAGAGCAUCGAUACAUGUCCAGGAAACCCCGCAGGAUAAAGUGAAGGGUACACAGCCUUAGUUAGAGUCACAGAGGACAUUUUUAUCGCUGUAGGACCCUCAGCACUGCCCGUGUUAGCCGGGAUCCCAGGAAUCUAGUUCCAGAGUCCUUUGAUCAUUCACAACAGCACCAAUACCUCCUCUAUAAAAGCCCAUGAGCAAACAUCCUUGAGGUCUCUUUAAGACUGUAAGAGAGGUCUGGCUUCUUGUGGAAAUUAACCUGUAUCUGCAGUCCUCAAGAAAAGUUGAAAGGGUGAAUCAGACUAUCAAAAAUAAAAAUUAAAAAAAGUUAAAAAACAAAACAAAACUGUCCCUGUCAGGAGGAGACUUAAGAGUUAUGGAUUCAAGCCUUCCUUGUUCCUCUGCCGUCAGAAAGCACCUCUCCCCGACCUCUUCCCACCCUUAGAACUCUCUUCUGGGAAAAAUCACCUUGCAUACCUAGUCUGGUGACAAGCCUCUGCUGAUAUUUUUUCUUGUUUCUUUUAUGAUUUUCAAAACCAACUAUUCCCAGAGAAAAAAUAAAUCUCAGAUGGAGACUUCAAAAACUUUAGAAAUUUCAGGCAAGCGAAUGUCUGGCAGACCUGGUUUGGCAUUAGGAUCGUUGGUGGGUGUCAUCCAGGUGGAAGCUCUGGUCACACCCCUCCUUAAUGCCCAGGGUUGUAAGGCAAAGCCACAGGAACUGUUACUGCCAACGCAGCUCUGACACUCAGGGUCCUCAGGGCCUGUUAUAGAGGUAGCCGUUAACUGACUCUCUGGAAGCCCCGAGAACAGCUGCAUAACCCUGUGCGUUUUUUUCUGCCCCAUUUGACCCAGGUAGGGCGGAGUCUACCCACCCCACCCCCACUCUACCCCUGCAUGCCCGUUUUCUUCCUCUGCAACAAAGAAGUGCCUUUCUAAGAUCCGCUAGUACAGCGGAGUGUGGAACUGUCGAGUGCGAGCCAGGCACGUGCGAUCGCUUUGUUAACGACAGAGCCGAGUAGUAAAAGCAGAGAAACAUUUAAUUCAGGGUAUUUUACACUAGAAGAAAGGGGACUUCGGUGUGAAUUGGAGCUAAGCUCACAGGAAGGAAGGUUGGAAUUUAUAGUGGGACGAACAGAGGACUAAGGGAAAACAGAAGGGUGGUACGGAAUUCUCAGAAGAAAUACAAGUGGCUCACAAAUACUUCUUAGUGCUCAACAUCGUUGGCCACCGAGAAGUCCACGGAGACACCACACUCUCCAGUCAGAUUGGCAUUUCUCUUCUUUGGGGGUCUGGUAGACUCUGACGCUGAGGCCUGGCCUUGUCACUGGGAGGCUGUGUUUUAAGUGCACAUAGCCCUCUGUGCAGCAAUGGAACAGCCAUGGCAGGGACAGAAAGUCCUGCAGCAGAGGAAAUGCAGGGAAAACUGCUUUGAUGCAAAAAUGUGCCUCAGGACCUUUCUGGGCUGUUUGAUUUUCAUUCCGUGGAGUCUCUGAAGUCUUUAGCUUACAACCCAGUGAGUAGUGAUGCAAAAGUUACUCAUAUUAACAUGUAAAUACUGUCCCUGGAACUUCAGUGGGCAGUUCUUCCCAACAUAUAAAGGCCAGUUUCACCCCUC